Molecule: ribosomal RNA, 450 nt
Filed under: uncultured bacterium
Lineage: Bacteria
Description: bacterial SSU rRNA
Rfam family: Bacterial small subunit ribosomal RNA
Source: RNAcentral
GUGGGGAAUUUUGGACAAUGGGCGCAAGCCUGAUCCAGCAAUGCCGCGUGCAGGAAGAAGGCCUUCGGGUUGUAAACUGCUUUUGUACGGAACGAAACGGUCCUGGUUAAUACCCGGGGCUAAUGACGGUACCGUAAGAAUAAGCACCGGCUAACUACGUGCCAGCAGCCGCGGUAAUACUUAGGGUGCAAGCGUUAAUCGGAAUUACUGGGCGUAAAGCGUGCGCAGGCGGUGCUGUAAGACAGGCGUGAAAUCCCCGGGCUUAACCUGGGAAUUGCGCUUGUGACUGCAGUGCUGGAGUGCGGCAGAGGGGGAUGGAAUUCCGCGUGUAGCAGUGAAAUGCGGAGAUAUGCGGAGGAACACCGAUGGCGAAGGCAAUCCCCUGGGCCUGCACUGACGCUCAUGCACGAAAGCGUGGGGAGCAAACAGGAUUAGAAACCCCUGUAGUCC